GCCGAGGUGGCGGAAUUGGUAGACGCGCAUGGUUCAGGUCCAUGUGAGGGAAACCUUGUGGAGGUUCAAAUCCUCUCCUCGGCACCA
Molecule: transfer RNA, 87 nt
Filed under: Candidatus Nitrosacidicoccus tergens
Lineage: Bacteria; Pseudomonadati; Pseudomonadota; Gammaproteobacteria; Chromatiales; Chromatiaceae
Also listed under: 1 other name
Description: Chromatiaceae bacterium RW Leu tRNA
Rfam family: tRNA
About the family: Transfer RNA (tRNA) molecules are approximately 80 nucleotides in length.
Source: RNAcentral